RNAcentral lists this unclassified non-coding RNA (589 nucleotides) under Hevea brasiliensis (rubber tree). The record is from RNAcentral. Lineage: Eukaryota; Viridiplantae; Streptophyta; Magnoliopsida; Malpighiales; Euphorbiaceae.
CAAAUGGGAAGUUUUACUUUGCAAAAGUACAUUAAGGUCUGUUCCACUCUCCCUUUUUCCAUUUAUUGUGAAAUGAGCAAAUCACAGGAGAACAAGAAAUACAUAAUCAGGGAUUUUAAAAAUAAUGAUUUUGAAAUUAGAUAUCAAUCUGUGCAAGGAUUUAUCAUUUACAGAAAAGAAAUGUACCAAAAAAACACAGGUUCCAAUGCUAAAAAGUAUAUAUUCAACUUUGAAGUAAGACUAGGCCCAUGAAAAACAACAAUGAUCAGCACCACCAUCCCAAGUGACUAAAUUUACUUGGUUUUUGUAAAGUCUCCGCGCAAAGCAUCAUAAUAGACUAGAAAUUUUAAAGGGUGAAUUACUCUAAGGUCCCUAGGUAUUGCCAUUAUUUGCUAGUUGGUCCCUAGAUUUUGACAAUUAUAUUAGUUAAUUCCUUAGAUUCUAUUCCGUCUGCAAAACGGUCCAACCAUCCAUUUUUCUCACAUUUAGCCGUUAGUCAAUGAAAAAACUUAAAUACAUUCAUUAUCAAUGCACUCAGCCCUCCCUAUCCCGGUCCCUCUCUCCCUCCCUCAAAUCCUCCUAAACCAAG